AACGAACGCUGGCGGCAUGCCUAACACAUGCAAGUCGAACGAGACCUUCGGGUCUAGUGGCGCACGGGUGCGUAACGCGUGGGAACCUGCCCUUAGGUUCGGAAUAACUCCCCGAAAGGGGUGCUAAUACCGGAUAAUGUCUUCGGACCAAAGAUUUAUCGCCUUUGGAUGGGCCCGCGUUGGAUUAGCUAGUUGGUAGGGUAAAAGCCUACCAAGGCGACGAUCCAUAGCUGGUCUGAGAGGAUGAUCAGCCACACUGGGACUGAGACACGGCCCAGACUCCUACGGGAGGCAGCAGUGGGGAAUAUUGGACAAUGGGCGAAAGCCUGAUCCGGCAAUGCCGCGUGAGUGAUGAAGGCCUUAGGGUUGUAAAGCUCUUUUACCCGGGAUGAUAAUAACAGUACCGGGAGAAUAAGCUCCGGCUAACUCCGUG
RNAcentral lists this ribosomal RNA (433 nucleotides) under uncultured bacterium. Its description in RNAcentral is "partial 16S ribosomal RNA". It matches the Rfam family "Bacterial small subunit ribosomal RNA", at positions 29 to 507 of the family's 1533-position model. The record is from RNAcentral.